Molecule: ribosomal RNA, 406 nt
Filed under: uncultured prokaryote
Also listed under: 1 other name
Description: bacterial SSU rRNA
Rfam family: Bacterial small subunit ribosomal RNA
Source: RNAcentral
UGGGGAAUAUUGGGCAAUGGGGGAAACCCUGACCCAGCAACGCCGCGUGGAGGAAGAAGGUUUUCGGAUCGUAAACUCCUGUCCUUGGUGAAGAGCAAGAGACGGUAGCCAAGGAGGAAGCCCCGGCUAACUACGUGCCAGCAGCCGCGGUAAUACGUAGGGGGCAAGCGUUGUCCGGAAUGAUUGGGCGUAAAGGGCGCGUAGGCGGCUUUGUAAGUCUGGAGUGAAAGUCCUGCUUUUAAGGUGGGAAUUGCUUUGGAUACUGCAGAGCUUGAGUGCAGGAGAGGUAAGUGGAAUUCCCAGUGUAGCGGUGAAAUGCGUAGAGAUUGGGAGGAACACCAGUGGCGAAGGCGACUUACUGGACUGUAACUGACGCUGAGGCGCGAAAGUGUGGGGAGCAAACAGG